RNAcentral lists this ribosomal RNA (298 nucleotides) under uncultured bacterium. RNAcentral describes it as "partial 16S ribosomal RNA". It matches the Rfam family "Bacterial small subunit ribosomal RNA", at positions 335 to 644 of the family's 1533-position model. The record is from RNAcentral.
ACCCUACGGGAGGCAGCAGUAGGGAAUUUUCGGCAAUGGGGGGAACCCUGACCGAGCAACGCCGCGUGAACGAAGAAGUUAUUCGUAAUGUAAAGUUCUUUUAUCAGGGUAGAAAGAGGAAUUUGACGGUACCUGAGGAAUAAGCUCCGGCUAACUACGUGCCAGCAGCCGCGGUAAUACGUAGGGAGCAAGCGUUAUCCGGAUUUACUGGGUGUAAAGGGGGCGCAGACGGCAGCGCAAGCCAGGAGUGAAAGCCCGGGGCCCAACCCCGGGACUGCUCUUGGAACUGCGCGCCUGG